Molecule: ribosomal RNA, 253 nt
Filed under: uncultured bacterium
Lineage: Bacteria
Description: partial 16S ribosomal RNA
Rfam family: Bacterial small subunit ribosomal RNA
Source: RNAcentral
UACGUAGGGUGCGAGCGUUGUUCGGAAUUACUGGGCGUAAAGGGCGCGUAGGCGGCGACUCAAGUUAGUUGUGAAAGUCCUGGGCUUAACCUGGGGACUGCAUUUGAUACUGGGUUGCUUGAAUUCGGGAGAGGAUAGCGGAAUUCCCAGUGUAGAGGUGAAAUUCGUAGAUAUUGGGAAGAACACCGGUGGCGAAGGCGGCUAUCUGGACCGACAUUGACGCUGAGGCGCGAAAGCGUGGGGAGCAAACAGG